RNAcentral lists this ribosomal RNA (466 nucleotides) under uncultured bacterium. RNAcentral describes it as "partial 16S ribosomal RNA". It matches the Rfam family "Bacterial small subunit ribosomal RNA", at positions 339 to 795 of the family's 1533-position model. The record is from RNAcentral.
CUACGGGGGGCACCAGUGGGGAAUAUUGGACAAUGGGGGAAACCCUGAUCCAGCAAUGCCGCGUGUGUGAAGAAGGCCUGCGGGUUGUAAAGCACUUUCGGUUGGGAGGACUGCUUCUAGCACUAAUAUUGUUGGAAGUUGACGUUACCUUCAGAAGAAGCACCGGCUAACUCCGUGCCAGCAGCCGCGGUGAAUACGGAGGGUGCAAGCGUUAAUCGGAAGUACUGGGCGUAAAGCGCGCGUAGGCGGCUAGAUCAGUCGGGUGUGAAAGCCCCGGGCUUAACCUGGGAACUGCAUCCGAUACUGUCUAGCUUGAGUACAGGAGAGGAGAGUGGAAUUCCACAUGUAGCGGUGAAAUGCGUAGAUAUGUGGAGGAAAACCAAUGGCGAAGGCAGCUCUCUGGCCUGAUACUGACGCUGAGGUGCGAAAGCGUGGGGAGCAAACAGGAUUAGAUACCCCAGUAGUC